RNAcentral lists this ribosomal RNA (497 nucleotides) under uncultured bacterium. RNAcentral describes it as "partial 16S ribosomal RNA". It matches the Rfam family "Bacterial small subunit ribosomal RNA", at positions 28 to 507 of the family's 1533-position model. The record is from RNAcentral.
GAUGAACGCUGGCGGCGUGCCUAAUACAUGCAAGUCGAGCGAACAGACGAGGAGCUUGCUCCUCUGACGUUAGCGGCGGACGGGUGAGUAACACGUGGAUAACCUACCUAUAAGACUGGGAUAACUUCGGGAAACCGGAGCUAAUACCGGAUAAUAUAUUGCACCGCAUGGUUCAAUAGUGAAAGACGGUUUUGCUGUCACUUAUAGAUGGAUCCGCGCCGCAUUAGCUAGUUGGUAAGGUAACGGCUUACCAAGGCAACGAUGCGUAGCCGACCUGAGAGGGUGAUCGGCCACACUGGAACGGAGACACGGUCCAGACUCCUACGGGAGGCAGCAGUAGGGAAUCUUCCGCAAUGGGCGAAAGCCUGACGGAGCAACGCCGCGUGAGUGAUGAAGGUCUUCGGAUCGUAAAACUCUGUUAUUAGGGAAGAACAAAUGUGUAAGUAACUAUGCACGUCUUGACGGUACCUAAUCAGAAAGCCACGGCUAACUACGUG